CCUACGGGGGGCAGCAGUGGGGAAUAUUGGACAAUGGGCGAAAGCCUGAUCCAGCCAUGCCGCGUGUGUGAAGAAGGCCUUCGGGUUGUAAAGCACUUUCAGUGGGGAAGAAAGCCUUGGGGCUAAUACCCUCGAGGAAGGACAUCACCCACAGAAGAAGCACCGGCUAACUCCGUGCCAGCAGCCGCGGUAAUACGGAGGGUGCGAGCGUUAAUCGGAAUUACUGGGCGUAAAGCGCGCGUAGGCGGUCUGAUAAGCCGGUUGUGAAAGCCCCGGGCUCAACCUGGGAACGGCAUCCGGAACUGUCAGGCUAGAGUGCAGGAGAGGAAGGUAGAAUUCCCGGUGUAGCGGUGAAAUGCGUAGAGAUCGGGAGGAAUACCAGUGGCGAAGGCGGCCUUCUGGACUGACACUGACGCUGAGGUGCGAAAGUGUGGGUAGCAAACAGGAUUAGAUACCCGAGUAGUC
RNAcentral lists this ribosomal RNA (465 nucleotides) under Vreelandella stevensii. RNAcentral's name for it is "partial 16S ribosomal RNA". It matches the Rfam family "Bacterial small subunit ribosomal RNA", at positions 338 to 795 of the family's 1533-position model. Lineage: Bacteria; Pseudomonadati; Pseudomonadota; Gammaproteobacteria; Oceanospirillales; Halomonadaceae. The record is from RNAcentral.